UAGUCCGACCAGAAUCACCGGAGAAGAUGACCGACCUUUGGACUCCGGUGAUGCGCUGGAAGUGUUCAGAGCCAUUGAUCUGUUUUAAAUUAUUUUAAUCUCACGCGUUGGUUUUGAUUACCAUUCCUGUAGCGCAUUGACUUAAGUCCACGGUGGAAAGCGCGCUGAGGACCACUUGAUCUACCACCUCAAUUAAUGAGGGAGAUCAAGUGGUCCACGUUUUUUUGUUAUUUUCUGAUUUUCUUUUAUUCCUUUUAUUUUUUUAAUUCAUAUUAAUUUUAAU
RNAcentral lists this long non-coding RNA (283 nucleotides) under Lathyrus oleraceus (garden pea). Its description in RNAcentral is "Pisum sativum (pea) long non-coding RNA (PSAT_LNC027240)". The record is from RNAcentral. Lineage: Eukaryota; Viridiplantae; Streptophyta; Magnoliopsida; Fabales; Fabaceae.